Biomphalaria glabrata is the source of this 1704-nucleotide long non-coding RNA. RefSeq lists it as uncharacterized. Lineage: Eukaryota; Metazoa; Mollusca; Gastropoda; Planorbidae. The record is from RefSeq and is a predicted model, not a curated record. The transcript has 3 exons.
AACCUAAAUUUAAAAAAGAUUCUUUCAGCUGAGGCUGUAGGCCUAUAUAGAUCUAGUGUAACCACAGCUAUUUUUAACAUGAAUUUAUUGGUCCAUGUAGGCGGCACCUUCGAUAUGGGGUCAUGGAGGUCACGAUGUAAAAAAAAAAAAGGUGGGGGCAUUAUAAAACCGGUCAACAAUGUUGAAAAGCAUUACGAUUCACAGGGUGCUAAAAAAAUGGAGGGGGCAGAAAGAGAAGGAGAGAAAGAUCAGACCGUCCAUUUUCAAUGUUCUAAAUGAGAGACCAUUACAAUGUGAAAAAAAUAAGGGGGAUGGUUCGAUCUAGAGAGGGAGAAAGAGAAAGAUUUUUACAAUUCAAGUUGAAAGCCUCAAUGAGAGAGCAUCAGGGUCGGACUGGCUUAAAAAACCGGUCCGGGAAAUUUGGUCAUGGCAGCGGCCCACUUCAUCAUGAGUUUCAUAUAAUUUUUUUCAAUAAUUUAAUAUUUAUAUAUUUUUCUUUAGUUUCUAUAAUUAUUUCAUAUAUAAUAAUAAAAAUAAUGAAAUUUUAAAGUUCAAAAACACUACUUUAAGCUGUAAGAAUGUUUUUUAUUUAUUACAUGUUCAAAUUCGUAAUUAUGCAAAACAACAUUAAACAGUUAAAUAACUCCUAGUUUUAACAACCUAAACAUAAGAAACACUACAGUCUAAAAUUUCAAUUCACUAAUGACUAGUAUAACAGCUUUUUCAUCGUUUCACUAGUCGAUGCUAAAACAUCAAUGAUAUCAUUGUUAUUGAUUGUUGGAAGAAGGUCCUUCUCACAAGACACCAGCAUGAAUGAUUGUAAAGUUGACAGGCUCAGCAAAUUUCUUAAUCUGUUCAAAAUGUAGGCCUAUUUCAAUUUUGAAAACCACCUCUCACAAGCAACUUGUGAUGAGGAUAAUGUCAAAACAAAUUUGUAAGCCAGAUACAAAUUUGAAUAAGCAAGACUUUGCAAAUUAAACUUUUGGAGAACAAAAUAACAAGAAACAAUACAUUUUUUGCAAGAAUUGCAUUCAUUUGCAUUCAUGGUUGUUGCCUGGUAAUUCAGACUGUUGAAUGUUGUCUGAGACAGAGUCUGAUACUUCCAUUUCAAAGACCAAAUUAUAUUCAUCUUCAAAAGUUGCUUGAAAAUUUUCCCAUUUCCUUGCAAAAUCCAAUAAUUCAGUUUGAAGCUGAUCUUUUUGUUACAGUAGGGUAACGUGGGGCAAAAAGCCCUUAGGGGUAAAAGGCCUUUCUUAAUUUUUGUGCGAAUGGCUUAUUGGAUGAUUCAAAUUAAGACUUCCUGAGAUAGCUCACUUCCUUUCUUUUAAUGCACGUUGAGCUUGAUGUAGUAGCUUGUCAAUUUAUCGUCACAGAUCACUUUGAAUUUUUCUACCUAUCUCACUAUAAGAUGUUCCUUCAGAGUUGAAGAUUAUUACUUCCUAGUCCAAACCUCCCGCAGGACGACGGAGGAUGGGAGCGGGCAGGGUUUGAACCCUGGACCACUGACAAAUCUGAACGACAGUCCAGCGCGCAAACUGCACGACCAAAAAAUGUUAAGAAAUUACCAGAGAAAAAACACAAGACUCGUAUGGACAACAUUCUUGACAGGAGCUUUAAAAGCUAUCGCUGAUGGGAUGCCACUUAACAAUGUCUCCGAAAAAAUUACAUUUAUAAUUAUUAAAUAUUUCACUUAUACUUUUUAAA